CAGAGGGCACCGGCCACACUGGGACUGACACACGGCCCAGACUCCUACGGGAGGCAGCCAUGGGGAACAUUCGGCAAUGGGCGAAAGCCUGAUGCAGCAACGCCGCGUGAGGGAUGACGGCCUUCGGGUUGUAAACCUCUUUCAGCAGGGACGAAGCGCAAGUGACGGUACCUGCAGAAGAAGCACCGGCCAACUACGUGCCAGCAGCCGCGGCGGAA
This 218-nucleotide ribosomal RNA is filed under the name uncultured Actinomyces sp. RNAcentral's name for it is "partial 16S ribosomal RNA". It matches the Rfam family "Bacterial small subunit ribosomal RNA", at positions 294 to 525 of the family's 1533-position model. Lineage: Bacteria; Bacillati; Actinomycetota; Actinomycetes; Actinomycetales; Actinomycetaceae. The record is from RNAcentral.